GAUGAACGCUGGCGGCGUGCCUAAUACAUGCAAGUCGAGCGAACGGACGAGAAGCUUGCUUCUCUGAUGUUAGCGGCGGACGGGUGAGUAACACGUGGAUAACCUACCUAUAAGACUGGGAUAACUUCGGGAAACCGGAGCUAAUACCGGAUAAUAUUUUGAACCGCAUGGUUCAAAAGUGAAAGACGGUCUUGCUGUCACUUAUAGAUGGAUCCGCGCUGCAUUAGCUAGUUGGUAAGGUAACGGCUUACCAAGGCAACGAUGCAUAGCCGACCUGAGAGGGUGAUCGGCCACACUGGAACUGAGACACGGUCCAGACUCCUACGGGAGGCAGCAGUAGGGAAUCUUCCGCAAUGGGCGAAAGCCUGACGGAGCAACGCCGCGUGAGUGAUGAAGGUCUUCGGAUCGUAAAACUCUGUUAUUAGGGAAGAACAUAUGUGUAAGUAACUGUGCACAUCUUGACGGUACCUAAUCAGAAAGCCACGGCUAACUACGUGCCAGCAGCCGCGGUAAUACGUAGGUGGCAAGCGUUAUCCGGAAUUAUUGGGCGUAAAGCGCGCGUAGGCGGUUUUUUAGUCUGAUGUGAAAGCCCACGGCUCAACCGUGGGGGGUCAUUGGAAACUGGAAAACUUGAGUGCAGAAGAGGAAAGUGGAAUUCCAUGUGUAGCGGUGAAAUGCGCAGAGAUAUGGAGGAACACCAGUGGCGAAGGCGACUUUCUGGUCUGUAACUGACGCUGAUGUGCGAAAGCGUGGGGAUCAAACAGGAUUAGAUACCCUGGUAGUCCACGCCGUAAACGAUGAGUGCUAAGUGUUAGGGGGUUUCCGCCCCUUAGUGCUGCAGCUAACGCAUUAAGCACUCCGCCUGGGGAGUACGACCGCAAGGUUGAAACUCAAAGGAAUUGACGGGGACCCGCACAAGCGGUGGAGCAUGUGGUUUAAUUCGAAGCAACGCGAAGAACCUUACCAAAUCUUGACAUCCUUUGACAACUCUAGAGAUAGAGCCUUCCCCUUCGGGGGACAAAGUGACAGGUGGUGCAUGGUUGUCGUCAGCUCGUGUCGUGAGAUGUUGGGUUAAGUCCCGCAACGAGCGCAACCCUUAAGCUUAGUUGCCAUCAUUAAGUUGGGCACUCUAAGUUGACUGCCGGUGACAAACCGGAGGAAGGUGGGGAUGACGUCAAAUCAUCAUGCCCCUUAUGAUUUGGGCUACACACGUGCUACAAUGGACAAUACAAAGGGCAGCGAAACCGCGAGGUCAAGCAAAUCCCAUAAAGUUGUUCUCAGUUCGGAUUGUAGUCUGCAACUCGACUACAUGAAGCUGGAAUCGCUAGUAAUCGUAGAUCAGCAUGCUACGGUGAAUACGUUCCCGGGUCU
Molecule: ribosomal RNA, 1371 nt
Filed under: uncultured bacterium
Lineage: Bacteria
Description: bacterial SSU rRNA
Rfam family: Bacterial small subunit ribosomal RNA
Source: RNAcentral